This 454-nucleotide ribosomal RNA is filed under the name uncultured Sphingomonas sp. RNAcentral's name for it is "bacterial SSU rRNA". It matches the Rfam family "Bacterial small subunit ribosomal RNA", at positions 8 to 507 of the family's 1533-position model. The record is from RNAcentral. Lineage: Bacteria; Pseudomonadati; Pseudomonadota; Alphaproteobacteria; Sphingomonadales; Sphingomonadaceae.
AGAGUUUGAUCCUGGCUCAGAACGAACGCUGGCGGCAUGCCUAACACAUGCAAGUCGAACGAUGCUUUCGGGCAUAGUGGCGCACGGGUGCGUAACGCGUGGGAAUCUGCCCUUGGGUUCGGAAUAACAGUUGGAAACGACUGCUAAUACCGGAUGAUGUCGAUAAGACCAAAGAUUUAUCGCCCGAGGAUGAGCCCGCGUCGGAUUAGCUAGUUGGUGGGGUAAAGGCCUACCAAGGCGACGAUCCGUAGCUGGUCUGAGAGGAUGAUCAGCCACACUGGGACUGAGACACGGCCCAGACUCCUACGGGAGGCAGCAGUGGGGAAUAUUGGACAAUGGGCGCAAGCCUGAUCCAGCAAUGCCGCGUGAGUGAUGAAGGCCUUAGGGUUGUAAAGCUCUUUUACCCGGGAAGAUAAUGACUGUACCGGGAGAAUAAGCCCCGGCUAACUCCGUG